RNAcentral lists this unclassified non-coding RNA (153 nucleotides) under uncultured Ascomycota. RNAcentral describes it as "sequence contains ITS1". The record is from RNAcentral. Lineage: Eukaryota; Fungi; Ascomycota.
CGUAUUAGGGCCGCCCUUCGGCGCUCUUUACACACCCACCCUUUGCCUAUGUGUACCUUUCAUAGCUUCCUCGGCGGGCUCGCCCGCCGCCAGGAACCCACGAAACCCCUUGCAUCCUACAUGAAAACUUCCGAUUACAAACCUAAAUUAUCA